This 614-nucleotide long non-coding RNA is filed under the name Homo sapiens (human). RNAcentral's name for it is "HSALNT0354427". Lineage: Eukaryota; Metazoa; Chordata; Mammalia; Primates; Hominidae. The record is from RNAcentral.
UCCGUAAAGUUAGUUUCACUCCACAUAGCAGCUGCUCUAUUUCUUCCCUUUUCACUUUCUCUUUCCCACCAUUUGCCUGAAGCUCCUCAUCCCCUUCCUUGUGCCUCCUCAGAAUUCUACCAGUGCACCUCAUUCAGACAUUCAUCAAGAAAAAGGCCAGCUGAAGGCAGACAGCCAACAAAACUCAGUCGUUAGCCACAGCCCUGGCUGUCCUCGUCCAUCAAGCCUGCCCAUUGUGAGCUUCCAUUCAUCUUACCUGUCUGUUAUGGAAGAGUGAAGUGGAAAAGGCAUGGAGGACUCAGAAGACCUGCUACCGAGAAGAGCCCCAUUGCAAUCAGAAGAUUAUUUAUGGAAAAAAGCAAAAUGGAGAUAUUUAAAAGACGGAGAGAGACAGCAGAAAGCUGCUUAAGAAAUUGCUUUGAGUCCACAGGAGGGAAGCACAAAGGAGAUGGGAUAAUAGUGUUAUACACUACAUGAUAUCACAGAGCUGGCAGAGUUAAUGAGUAUCUUGGACAAUUGCACCAAAUGCAAUGGAUUGGGAUCACUAAAUCAAGACGUAAUUUGAUAGAAAUAAAGGGAUGGGUUCUUGCUCUGUUACCCAGGCUGGAGCACAG